GGGCGUCGAGCGGCGGACGGGUGAGUAAUGCCUAGGAAAUUGCCUUGAUGUGGGGGAUAACCAUUGGAAACGAUGGCUAAUACCGCAUAAUGCCUACGGGCCAAAGAGGGGGAUCUUCGGACCUCUCGCGUCAAGAUAUGCCUAGGUGGGAUUAGCUAGUUGGUGAGGUAAUGGCUCACCAAGGCGACGAUCCCUAGCUGGUCUGAGAGGAUGAUCAGCCACACUGGAACUGAGACACGGUCCAGACUCCUACGGGAGGCAGCAGUGGGGAAUAUUGCACAAUGGGCGAAAGCCUGAUGCAGCCAUGCCGCGUGUAUGAAGAAGGCCUUCGGGUUGUAAAGUACUUUCAGUUGUGAGGAAGGGUGUGUAGUUAAUAGCUGCGCAUCUUGACGUUAGCAACAGAAGAAGCACCGGCUAACUCCGUGCCAGCAGCCGCGGUAAUACGGAGGGUGCGAGCGUUAAUCGGAAUUACUGGGCGUAAAGCGCAUGCAGGUGGUUCAUUAAGUCAGAUGUGAAAGCCCGGGGCUCAACCUCGGAACUGCAUUUGAAACUGGUGAACUAGAGUGCUGUAGAGGGGGGUAGAAUUUCAGGUGUAGCGGUGAAAUGCGUAGAGAUCUGAA
This 620-nucleotide ribosomal RNA is filed under the name Vibrio sp. 6V. RNAcentral's name for it is "bacterial SSU rRNA". It matches the Rfam family "Bacterial small subunit ribosomal RNA", at positions 86 to 702 of the family's 1533-position model. Lineage: Bacteria; Pseudomonadati; Pseudomonadota; Gammaproteobacteria; Vibrionales; Vibrionaceae. The record is from RNAcentral.